GAGGGAAAGGCGAAAAGAACCCCGGCGAGGGGAGUGAAAAAGAACCUGAAACCGUGUACGUACAAGCAGUGGGAGCCUCUUUAUGGGGUGACUGCGUACCUUUUGUAUAAUGGGUCAGCGACUUAUAUUCUGUAGCAAGGUUAACCGAAUAGGGGAGCCGAAGGGAAACCGAGUCUUAACUGGGCGUUAAGUUGCAGGGUAUAGACCCGAAACCCGGUGAUCUAGCCAUGGGCAGGUUGAAGGUUGGGUAACACUAACUGGAGGACCGAACCGACUAAUGUUGAAAAAUUAGCGGAUGACUUGUGGCUGGGGGUGAAAGGCCAAUCAAACCGGGAGAUAGCUGGUUCUCCCCGAAAGCUAUUUAGGUAGCGCCUCGUGAAUUCAUCUCCGGGGGUAGAGCACUGUUUCGGCAAGGGGGUCAUCCCGACUUACCAACCCGAUGCAAACUGCGAAUACCGGAGAAUGUUAUCACGGGAGACACACGGCGGGUGCUAACGUCCGUCGUGAAGAGGGAAACAACCCAGACCGCCAGCUAAGGUCCCAAAGUCAUGGUUAAGUGGGAAACGAUGUGGGAAGGCCCAGACAGCCAGGAUGUUGGCUUAGAAGCAGCCAUCAUUUAAAGAAAGCGUAAUAGCUCACUGGUCGAGUCGGCCUGCGCGGAAGAUGUAACGGGGCUAAACCAUGCACCGAAGCUGCGGCAGCGACACUAUGUGUUGUUGGGUAGGGGAGCGUUCUGUAAGCCUGCGAA
This 748-nucleotide ribosomal RNA is filed under the name Escherichia coli. RNAcentral's name for it is "partial 23S ribosomal RNA". It matches the Rfam family "Bacterial large subunit ribosomal RNA", at positions 505 to 1254 of the family's 2925-position model. The record is from RNAcentral. Lineage: Bacteria; Pseudomonadati; Pseudomonadota; Gammaproteobacteria; Enterobacterales; Enterobacteriaceae.